Molecule: RNA transcript, 8385 nt
Organism: Gadus chalcogrammus (walleye pollock)
Lineage: Eukaryota; Metazoa; Chordata; Actinopteri; Gadiformes; Gadidae
Gene name: carnitine O-palmitoyltransferase 1, liver isoform-like
Exons: 32
Source: RefSeq, a predicted model, not a curated record
AAAGAGCGUGGUGGAAAGAAAACACAAACGGUUCGGGACUUAGGAUUUUCCCCGGGAAGUGAACAAAAUAUAACCGGAGAUGGCAGAGGCCCACCAGGCGGUGGCCUUCCAGUUCACCAUCACCCCCGAGGGCAUGGACCUGCAGCUGUCCUACCAGGCCCUGCACCAGAUCUACCGCUCUGGGCUCCGCUCCUGGAAGAAACGGAUCAGCCGCAUGCAGAACAGGGUGAUCAAGGGAGUGUAUCCUGCGAGCCCUUCUUCCUGGCUCUUCGUCGUCAUAGCGAUCCUGGCAACCAUGUACAUGCGCUCUGAUCCCAGCAUGGGCCUGAUUGCCAAGAUACAGCAGCACCUGCCACUGAGUCUGCACGUGUCCCUGAGCUCGCAGGGCCAGACCAUGCUGUCGGCGCUGGUGUUCAGCACGCUGCUCUGGCUCUCGGUCAUCCUGGCCCUGCGCUUCUGCCUCAAGCUGCUGCUGUCCUACCACCGCUGGAUGUUCGAGAAGCACGGAAGCACCUCCACCACCACCAAAGUCUGGGUGACAUUGUUACGGCUGUUGUCGGGCAGGAAACCGCUUCUUUACAGCUACCAGACUUCUCUACCACACCUCCCCGUCCCCACCAUCAAGGACACGCUCAGUAGGUACCUGGAGUCGGUGCACCCGUUGCUGACGGGUCCCGGGUUCGAGCGGAUGACGGGGCUGGCCAAUCAGUUUGAGCUGAGCCUCGGGAACCGGCUGCAGCGCUACCUCAAGCUGAAGGCUCUCUGGGCCACCAACUACGUGAGUGACUGGUGGGAGGAGUACAUCUACCUGCGCGGUCGCGGCCCCAUCAUGGUCAACAGCAACUACUACGGCAUGGACUUCCUGUACGUGACCCCCACGUCGGUCCAGGCGGCCCGGGCGGGGAACACCAUCACGGCCCUGCUCCUCUACCGCCGCAAGGUCAACCGGGAGGAGCUCAAGCCGAGCCGCGUUCCCGGUACGGUCAUCCCGCUGUGUGCCGCCCAGUGUGAGCGAAUGUUCAACACCACCCGCACACCUGGGAUUGAGACAGACGUCCUCCAGCACUGGCAGGACAGCGAGUUUGUGGCGGUGUACCACCGGGGCCGGUUCUUCCGCCUGUGGGUGUACCAGGCGGGCCGGCUGCUCAGCCCCAGGGAGAUCCAGUCCCAGGUGCAGAGGAUCCUGGACGACCCCUCCCCCCCCCAGCCGGGCGAGGAGAAGCUGGGGGCCCUCACGGCAGGCGACAGAGUCCCCUGGUCGGAGGUGCGUAAGCGCCACUUCGGCGCCGGGGUGAACCGGCGCUCGCUGGACGUCAUCGAGCGGGCGGCCUUCUUCGUCACGCUGGACGAGGAGGAGCAGGGCAUGAGGGGGGACGACCCCGCCGGCAACCUGGACCGCUACGCCAAGUCCCUGCUGCACGGGAAGUGCUACGACAGGUGGUUCGAUAAAUCGUUCUCCAUCAUCGUCUACAAAAACGGCAAGAACGGCCUCAACGCAGAGCACUCCUGGGCCGACGCCCCCACCGUGGCACACCUGUGGGAGUACACCCUGGCCACGGAUGCCUUCCAGCUGGGCUACACAGAGGACGGCCACUGUAAGGGCGAGGUGGACCGCUCGCUCCCGCACCCACAGAGGCUGCUGUGGGACAUUCCCUCAGAGGUCCAGGCUCAGGUGUCCAGCUCUCUGGCGGUAGCUCAGCAGCUGGCGGACGAUGUGGACUGCCACGUGUUCCCCUUCAGGGACUUUGGGAAGGGCCGCAUCAAGAAGCUCCGCAUCAGCCCGGACGCCUUCAUCCAGCUGAGCCUACAGCUGGCCUACUACAGGGACCGCGGGGGCUUCUGCCUGACCUACGAGGCGUCCAUGACGCGCCUGUUCCGGGAGGGCCGCACCGAGACGGUCCGGUCCUGCUCCAACGAGAGCUGUGACUUCGUGAAGGCCCUGGCUGGAGGAGAGGAGGAGGAGCAUUGCAGACAGCUGUUCCGACGGGCUGCCGAGAAGCAUCAGAACCUCUACCGACUGGCUAUGACGGGCGACGGCAUCGACAGACACCUCUUCUGUCUGUACGUGGUGUCCAAGUACCUCGGUGUGGACUCCCCCUUCCUCAAAGAGGUUCUUUCCGAGCCCUGGCGUCUCUCCACUAGCCAGACCCCCCUGCAGCAGAUGGAGCUAUUUGACCUCAAAAACAACCCGGAGUUCAUAUCCCUGGGCGGAGGCUUCGGACCUGUUGCGGACGAUGGCUACGGAGUGUCCUACAUCAUCGUGGGGGAGGACAUGAUCAACUUCCACGUGUCCUCAAAGCACUCUUGCAGUGGAACCGACUCCCAUCGGUUUGGGCAGCAGAUAAGUCGGGCGUUUAAGGACAUCUUGGCCCUCCUCUCGUCUCCCGAUGGCAAGGCCGCCAUGCCGAGGAGCCCCCCCCAGCCACAGACCAAGAAGGCUCUCUGAGCUCGAACCACCAGCACGCCCGUUAGAUCUUCUUGAACAAGACUGUACAAAAUGGUGGAAGAAACCAACAGAUGUCCUCUCGUACCACCACUCCACCUCUGGAUGCUCAUUGGGCCCCGGAUCCGUCUUACACUUGACCUGGAUGUCCAGCCAGUAAACUUAAAAUGUGUUUUUAGAAAAUGUUAUUAAGUAUAUUUUGUUAAAGGGAAAUAGGCAGGCAUCCUUCAUCCUGUUGGUUUUGCCUCUCAGUUGGAUGUGGCCUAAAACGAACAUGAACAGCUAGUCUCUAUGAAGGCAAAUUACCUUUUAAUUAGUGUACAAAAUAGUGAAUCAACAAGCUUUUAUUUUUAUAUAUAUAUAUAUAUAUAUAUAUAUAUAUAUAUAUAUAUAUAUAUAUAUACACACACACACGAAUUGUUUAUUGUUACAAAGGGACAGGACACUGGGAUAGGGGCCACUUUGGUAAGAGAUUUUCCUUAUUUUUACCUACUUAAGUUACAGGGGCGUAUUUGCUAGUUAUAUCACAAGAUCAUCAAAAACGGUACGGUGAUGUAUUAAUGAAGCAAUUAGUCGUGCUCCAAAUAAUGGAGUGUCUACUUCUGGUAUGUAGAGUGUGAGUUCAUACGAGUCGUUUCUAUGAUUUAGUAUGCCUUUUUUUCAAAUGGUCUUCAAAAGGAAGGAAAACAAGGUAUCAAAUGGCUUAGUUUCACACGGUCAUCUAAAAUCUAUGUUUUAUAUUCUAUAAAUGAUCAGGGCCUUCAUCCUGUAGCUAUCACCUUGGGGUUCGUUGUAAAAAAAAAUGUCUAACGUGGUGCAUUCAAAGCAUAGAGCAAGCUUCCCAUCCAUUGCUAAACCAGGGCUAGCCGGUUGAUUAGGAGACCGCAACGUCCCUCGUGGCUGUUACCGUAGACCAGUGGGGAGUCUCCAUUUGCUACGCGGGGACGGUGAUGCAUGUCUAACUUGUUUAAUGAUCUGAAGGACCUGUGUUUUAACGAGAACCAUUUAACCAUGUAACCUUCGUAGUCAGACUAAUGGUAACGUCUGGUGUACCGAAGACUGCGGAUACCGUAGAGCUUUUAUUUUGUAUAACUUUGUGAUUGUUCACGUGUUGGUGUUGACCUGAUUUAAAAUGUUGACGCAGAUCUGGUAUGACGGCACAUACUUGAUACAGAAGCUCACAAAAUACUGCCACCUAUGUUUAGACACAAGGGGGUUUUCCUUGAGCGCUCCCUCUGUCUGACACAUGGCUCUUGGCUCAGCCGCUCUCGCUGUUUUGCAAAGGAAGGAUUUAAUAAAUAACGGGGUUUUUUUUCAAUCGUGUGUGUGCGUGCGUUUGCGCGCGCGCGCGGGUGUGUGUGUCCCCUGCAGGAAAUUUGGUUCUUUUGAAGAAAGGGGUGGACUAGGUCCAUUGAAGAAACCUUGCUUGGCUAGUGUUAAUGAAAAAUCGUAUCAUUUUGUUUAAGGCCGGUAAUGAUUAACUGCAAUGACUGCUUAGUGCCUUUCAUGGUGCGUUGGCUCAUCAGUGUGCUCUGGAUUUCUUCAUGUAAGAGGACUCUUUCAAUGCAAUUGUUAAUCAAUGAAAUUUCUUAAUGGACAAUUUUUUACCUUUAUUCGAUUUCCCGUAUGUUUUUUGAGGUGUGCAGCGGAUAGCCAGUUCAUCUGAUGCUUGAGAGGCGUGUCCCCAAGUUGAAAGUGAAACAAUAAGGCAGACGCCGCAAGAAGCCCUUGAAUGCUGCCGGUAUUUUUUCCCUUGGCAAGAGUCCUUAUGGUUUCCCAAGCAGCAUGGUUCCACUGAGAUUCAUGUGCGACAUUGCCCUUUGUCUCUUGGUGUUCCUGUGCAUAAUAGGUCGGUCCCUCCAAGGCUGUGACGACUAUUUGGAUAACUCCGCUAAGUUUCUGAAAGCGAAUUUCUCACCACACCAAUACAUCCGACUGGAAGGACUCUCCCUGAAUCCGGCUAGAGGAACAAUGAACCGCUCUGAAGUGGCGAACUGCACCACGCAUCAGUGGUGCAUCCACUCCGGAGAUAAUAAAUCACGUCAAUGCAAUAUAUAUAAAAGCUGUUUCAACGAAUAUAUGAAUCUCGCCCAAACGGGUUGCGAUUCAGCUCACGAGCUAUAUCCCCAAAAGAUGGAAAUGGUCUCCAUGCUUCAGCUGUAUUGUAUGGUGAACAUUGUGAAAAACAGGACAGAUUUUCCUUCCGAGUGCAAGGAAGGAGAAAAGAUCUAUGUCUGCACGCUGAAACCCACAGAGAAAACUCCCACUCCGUCGUUUCACGAUAAAACAACAACAGAAGCAGCGACAACAGAAGCAGCAACAACAGAAGCAGCGACAACAGAAGCAGCGACAACAAAAGCAGCAACAACAGAAGCAGCAACAACAGAAGCAGCAACAACAUGCGGCUCAAAAUCCGAAAGUAGCAUAGACAACCAAGACAACCAAGGUUUUAUUGCGUCUAACGUGGUUCUAGUGUUCCUGUUGGUCUUACUUAUCGUCUCAAAUGCAACCUGGUGUCAGUACUCCCGAAGACAAAGAAGAAUACACGAGCUUUGGAGAGCGGGACACCAAUGUGCUUGCCCAGACCAGCUAUUGACGGAGUUUACGGAUCAAGAGUCGAGGCCUUGACAGAACUUCUGGGGGGAACCACGCAGAACCGGGGAGGACGCAAGGGCCUUACGCUGUGUUUGUUUUUUUUACAAUUUGUUGUAUUAUAUGGAUAUGGUAUUUGUCUAUAUGGAUAUUUCCGAUGAUAGCCGCCAGUCUUUUACACGGCUUUCCACUCCAACCUAUAAAAGUAAAGUGCCAUUCUGACUGCUGUAGAGUUGUAUAUUAGCCAAAGCAAAAUGUUUUACCAAAAAAAGAUCCAUCCGAAACCCCGCCCUGAGGUUCGCUCAGCGGGGUUUGCAGUCCGGGGCCCAUGAAAGGAGACUGGAAUGGGUCUUUUCCGUUUUUUUAGAUCCCCUAUAUUUCAACUAGACAAUGUUCUCCUUUCAUCACAAAAGAAAUGCAUUUUUUUUAAAGGUGUCGUGUGUAGGAUUUAUUGCCACCUAGUGACGAUGUUGCAGAUUGCAACCAACUGAAUACCCCUCCCUCUCCCUUUCCAACCACGCAGUAGAUAAGCUACCUUGGCCUGAAAGGUGCCAUUAGGUACCUCCAGAAUGUUGUAAUUUAUGGCGUGUCAAGUAAUGAGGUUCCUUGGUCGAUUUAAUUGUUCAUUGUUCAGGACUACUUCACAACACAGCUGUGCCACAUAGCGGGCUCCAUGGCCGAGGUCCCUAUCCCGCUGCCGUAUGGAGAUUUAAAGAGCUCAUUCUGAGCUAGCAAAAACAAAGAUUGGUAUUUUCAUGGGAUGAUGCAUUGAUUUCAAACAUACUUUAAAAGUGAAAGGCUUCAAGCUAGCUAUUCAAAGUCGAUGUCACCUGAAGGAAACUGUGCUUUAUGUGUUUUUUCUACAACAGUGAGCCGUAUUAUGUAUAGGUGUGUAUUAUAGGAUUGUAUUAUUCAACCCUUUUUUUUAAAUGCAGAAAACAUCAACUACUUCAACUCUUUAUUCUCCAAUUCAUCCAUUUCAUGACUGUGUGUUGAAUUUGCCUGAAAUGAUGUGAUUCGUGUUGUAUCAUUUGUUGAUAAAACUUUGAUAUUGUGUAUUAUAUGUACAAUGUUUCCAAAAAAAAGGCAUGCAUAUUGGAUGUAUCAUAUAUCACAUAGUUUGUAGGUUUGAAGCUUUUUAAGCUUUAACAAUAAGGUUACAUUAAUUAGCCGUUCAUUAACAUUAGUAUAGUAUAAACUAACAUUUAACUAAAGGUUAAUUAACCGUUAACUAAUGGUAUAGUAAAUCUGUAAUAAUCUGUAAAUCUUUACUUAUGGUGUUCAUGUUGAUUAAGCUAUUCAUUCAUACAUUAUUUAAUAGGGGUAGGGUAAGGGUUAUGUAAGUUAAUUAGGAAUAUUAGUUAAUUUGAUUAAUGUGAUAGUUUUACUUUUACAUUUAGGGCAUUUAGCAGACGCUUUUAUCCAAAGCGACUUGCAAUAAGUACAUUUGUCAUAAGAAGUGCAACAAUAUAUCACUGUCGGUACAGUAAGGAUGUUCAUAGAACCAAGUGCAAGUACCAUAAUCGCUAGGCUAAUCAAUUCCCCGUGUUAAAGCAAUGAUAGCAGCUACUGCAGUUGCUACACAGUUAAAGGACAAUUCCGGUAUUUUGAUCAUUGAGCCCCCUUUCUGGUUUGUUUAGGAUGAAAUAGAGUGGGUGACACAGAAAUUUGAACUAUAAGUCCUUUCUCGGGUAUUUGGCUCAUUUUGAAUCGCUCCUGCCUGCUCCACAAUGGUUGUCUGUGUGCAUACACAAACCUGUCAACCCAGCAACCCUAAACGUUCGUUUUCAAAAAUGUGCAAGUAACCGAGUGGUUAGUGGCAUUCGUGAAGUUUAAAAAAAAUAUAUCGGCGCAAUAUAUGGUUUCCAUCCGUGUUAGUUGCUAACUGGAACUAUUUUUUCAGAUACCUCACAACCGCAUAUAAACUUCCGCAAAAGGUCCCACUCCGUGCAGCACCUACUUUCGACUUCCUUCGGCGUCUGCCUGCACUUCCCACAGGCACACCCAUAGGGCACACCACCCGCCCGUGAUCGUGGGGACCGCUUCCGCCGGAGCUUCAGGCGCCUCCGUAGCCCCAGCCUCCAUCUCACGUAGCUCCUCUUGGGUGAAUUCUGGUUCAAAACGAUAUCCUCUGCCGUCAAACUCAAAAUCGAGUGCGUCCUCCAGAAGCCACCUUUCAUAAUCCAUUUUCAGUGAUUUUCUAUGUGAUUUUCCCUAAUCCGAGGUGCGCACGGUACAAGACUUCAAACCCAUAGACAUGUUCAAACCAACGUAAACAGCCCACCUUUACGGUUCGGCGGAGUAAUAUCAUCGUGCAGUAAUGAGUCUUCCAACUGAAAUCAACUGGCGAUAAAUGUGCAAUAAAACACGACAGAAACCAUAUAUUGCGCCGAUAAUUCUUUUUUAAACUUCACGAAUGCCACUAACCACUCGGUUACUUGCACAUUUUUGAAAACGAACGUUUAGGGUUGCUUGGUUGACAGGUUUGUCUAUGCACACAGACAACCAUUGUGAAGCAGGCAGGAGCGAUUCAAAAUGAGCCAAAUACCCGAGAAAGGACUAAUAGUUAAAAUUUCGGUGUCACCCACUCUAUUUCAUCCUAAACAAACCAGAAAGGGGGCUCAAUGUUCAAAAUACCGGAAUUGUCCUUUAAGUACCAUAAUACCAUACAAUACAAUACAGUGUACAAUGGUGGCCAGAAGGGGGAGGGUGGCUAUGCAGUGUCGAGGUGGACUCUGAACAGGUGAGUCUUGAGUCUUUUUCGGAAGAUAGUGAGCGACUCUGCGGUCCUGAGAACGGCAGGGAGCUCGUUCCACCACUGAGGCCCCAAAACCGAGAAAAGUUGUGACUUUGCUGAUCGACCUUUGCUAGCUCUUAGCGAUGGCGGUACCAGGCGGGCUGGACUGGCCAUCGGGCGUACCGGGCAAUGCCCGGUGGGCUGGCAGGCCUUUUUGGGCCGACGAGGUUUACUUGAGGUUUACUUUUUUUUUUCUUUUUUUUUUAUUAUUAUUAUUUUUUGUCACACAGCCGAGGAGGGCCGAGGUCCGUUCCUUCCCUCUCGGUCGUGCGGGCUGUCAACUUAACCUGAAAGUUCAAUACAACUUUGGGCCGGGCCAUAACUCAUUAUGAUUGGUUCUGGGCUGGCCCUGGCCCUAUCACACACACAGCAGAGGGCCGAGGUCCCGCCCCUUGGGUCUCGGCUGUCAAUCAGUCAAUCAGUCACGUCACUAACUGACAGAAAAAUGGAGAAGAAACGUAAAGGAGGCGCGGAGAAUCUCUCUCUCUCUCUCUCUCUCUCUCUCUCUCUCUCUCUCUCUCUCUCUCUCUCUCUCUCUCUCUCUCUCUCUCUC